CUGCUCUCAGAAAAAAACUUUAGGUUGUCUAGACAUCUUAAGGAGCUCUCACUUGGACAUAGAGAUGCAGAAGUAUCUUAUAAAAGAAAGAAACUUUUAAGAGUUUCAUGUAGAGUCCUCUCCAUGCUAAGUAAAAUAUUCAUUAUCAUAUAAUUAGAGGGUCCCUUAGACUAUUAUUUAGAAGAUUGCUGGUGUGUUGUUACCACUUUCCAAAGAGAUCUGCAGAAUGGGAUUACCCUUGUGUCACUUUAUGAAGAACCCAAAUUCUCUUAGCAAUAAGAAGAAUUUCUUUAAUUCCCAAGGAGACAAAAAUAAAGCAACAUAUCUGAAAGUAAGACUCAGCCUGACCUUGAACAAAUUCUGUAAGGAAUUAAGGUGUUAUUGGGGUACUCUACAUGCUAUUACAUUAUUCAGAUCACUGUUGCCAGCAAAGCCAAGACUCAAGCAAAACACUUGAUUUCAG
Molecule: long non-coding RNA, 463 nt
Organism: Vidua chalybeata
Lineage: Eukaryota; Metazoa; Chordata; Aves; Passeriformes; Viduidae
Exons: 3
Source: RefSeq, a predicted model, not a curated record